GGUGGUAUAGACAAGUGGUUACGUCGUUGGGUUGUGGUUAUCGCAAGCACAGAUCCCCAAAGGUCGGGAGUUCGAACCUCUCUGCCACCA
Xylariomycetidae sp. FL0641 is the source of this 90-nucleotide non-coding RNA. Lineage: Eukaryota; Fungi; Ascomycota; Sordariomycetes. The record is from the annotation of a GenBank genome assembly.